GACGAACGCUGGCGGCGUGCUUAACACAUGCAAGUCGAACGGAAAGGCCCUGCUUUUGUGGGGUGCUCGAGUGGCGAACGGGUGAGUAACACGUGAGUAACCUGCCCUUGCCUUUGGGAUAACUUCAGGAAACUGGGGCUAAUACCGGAUAGGAGCUCCUGCGGCAUGGUGGGGGUUGGAAAGUUUCGGCGGUUGGGGAUGGACUCGCGGCUUAUCAGCUUGUUGGUGGGGUAGUGGCUUACCAAGGCUUUGACGGGUAGCCGGCCUGAGAGGGUGACCGGCCACAUUGGGACUGAGAUACGGCCCAGACUCCUACGGGAGGCAGCAGUGGGGAAUAUUGCACAAUGGGCGGAAGCCUGAUGCAGCAACGCCGCGUGCGGGAUGACGGCCUUCGGGUUGUAAACCGCUUUCGCCUGUGACGAAGCGUGAGUGACGGUAAUGGGUAAAGAAGCACCGGCUAACUACGUG
RNAcentral lists this ribosomal RNA (468 nucleotides) under uncultured bacterium. RNAcentral's name for it is "partial 16S ribosomal RNA". It matches the Rfam family "Bacterial small subunit ribosomal RNA", at positions 28 to 507 of the family's 1533-position model. The record is from RNAcentral.